Molecule: ribosomal RNA, 468 nt
Filed under: uncultured bacterium
Lineage: Bacteria
Description: bacterial SSU rRNA
Rfam family: Bacterial small subunit ribosomal RNA
Source: RNAcentral
GGGGCAACCCUGGUCAGUGGCGAACGGGUGAGUAAUGCAUCGGAACGUGUCCCGUAGUGGGGGAUAACCCAGCGAAAGCUGGGCUAAUACCGCAUAUGCUCUGAGGAGGAAAGUGGGGGACCGCAAGGCCUCACGCUAUGGGAGCGGCCGAUGUCCGAUUAGCUAGUUGGUGGGGUAAUGGCCUACCAAGGCGACGAUCGGUAGCUGGUCUGAGAGGAUGAUCAGCUACACUGGGACUGAGACACGGCCCAGACUCCUACGGGAGGCAGCAGUGGGGAAUUUUGGACAAUGGGGGCAACCCUGAUCCAGCCAUGCCGCGUGCGGGAAGAAGGCCUUCGGGUUGUAAACCGCUUUUGGCCGGGAAGAAAAGGCGCCAGUUAAUACCUGGCGUUCUUGACGGUACCGGCAGAAUAAGCACCGGCUAACUACGUGCCAGCAGCCGCGGUAAUACGUAGGGUGCGAGCGUUA